Molecule: ribosomal RNA, 485 nt
Filed under: uncultured Rhodocyclaceae bacterium
Lineage: Bacteria; Pseudomonadati; Pseudomonadota; Betaproteobacteria; Rhodocyclales; Rhodocyclaceae
Description: bacterial SSU rRNA
Rfam family: Bacterial small subunit ribosomal RNA
Source: RNAcentral
UGGCUCAGAUUAAACGCUGGCGGCAUGCCUUACACAUGCAAGUCGAACGGCAGCACGGGGGCAACCCUGGUGGCGAGUGGCGAACGGGUGAGUAAAGCAUCGGAACGUGCCCUGGAGUGGGGGAUAACGUAGCGAAAGUUACGCUAAUACCGCAUAUUCUGUGAGCAGGAAAGCAGGGGAUCGCAAGACCUUGCGCUUUGGGAGCGGCCGAUGUCGGAUUAGCUAGUUGGUGGGGUAAAGGCCUACCAAGGCGACGAUCCGUAGCGGGUCUGAGAGGAUGAUCCGCCACACUGGGACUGAGACACGGCCCAGACUCCUACGGGAGGCAGCAGUGGGGAAUUUUGGACAAUGGGCGCAAGCCUGAUCCAGCCAUGCCGCGUGAGUGAAGAAGGCCUUCGGGUUGUAAAGCUCUUUCGGUGGGGAAGAAAUUGCACGGGUUAAUAGCCUGUGUAGAUGACGGUACCUGGAGAAGAAGCACCGGCUAA